Molecule: long non-coding RNA, 8477 nt
Filed under: Homo sapiens (human)
Lineage: Eukaryota; Metazoa; Chordata; Mammalia; Primates; Hominidae
Description: long non-coding RNA NONHSAT117952.2
Source: RNAcentral
CGGGGCGGCAAAACGUCCGCCCGGGCCCGAGGCGGGCGGAGGCAGCUGUGGUUACGUGCGGGGGGCCGGUGACGCAGUCGCGGGGCGCUGGGACGCGGCUUGCGGAGCCGGCCGGCGAGCGCAGGCCCCAGGCUCGGGCGCGGCGGCGGGACAGCACCUACCUUCCCGGCUUCGGGUCCGGGAGUGCGGGGCGCGGAGCCGCCGGAGCGCUGCCUCCCUCCUUCCUCCUCCCCUCGCCCCCGCCCCGCGGCGCGACACACAAUACUCGCCGGAAGCGGAAGCCGCGCCGAGGCUCGUGUCAGUGGAAGCUGGGGUGUCGGCGGGCGGCCGCGGCCGGGUCUAGUGGUGCCUGCGGAAGAAGGAGGAGGAGGGCUGGCGAUGAGAAGCAGCAGGGGGAAUCAAGGGCAAGAAGGGACCCAGAGGGGCAGGUGGCUGAGAUGCUGGCGUCCAGGUGACCCGAGGAAUCCUCUGGAGAUACAGGCCCGCGCAUGCGCGUGCUCGAGCGCUGAAGCCCAUUGCCCGCAGGGCGCUGGACUGGCGCCCCGGCCGGCGAGGCUGUCUAGUCCAGGCUCCAGGCCCCGGCUCUGGCCAGGCGCCGCCGCCUCCCGGUGCAGCUGAAAGUCGACGAAGAGGGCGGGGCGGGGGCGGCUUGUGGACUUCCACACUUUUCCUCUCUUCGGGCCAGUCUGGGGAGAGGGUGGCUAGCUGUGGCGGCGGCCAAUUACGUGGCGGACCUGCGGGGCUAAGCUGGCACGUCACUUCCGACUAGUGGAGUUUUUAGCCUUUUAACAUUCAAGGAUUAGAGCUCCCUCUUUGCCCACUAGCAGGGCAUUAGCUGGUGCUGAAGACAGUGGCUGCUUGGCGAGCCUGGAUCUCCAAGUGACCCCCUCAGCAACUCCUGAUGAACAGGACUGAAGCCAAUAUUAAAGCAAGUCAACCAAAGGUUCUCUGGUGUAGACAAGACAGCAAAAGGACAGACUACCUUGUGGAACCUAGCAUUGUUCUCCUUCUGCAGCACUAAGUAACAUUUGUUCUCCGUUAAGAUCUUUGCAAACCACACACAAGAAUUGCUGGUCAUCCUGCCAAUAGAUGCUGCUCACAGAACCAAAUUUCCUGUGCUGAAUUGUCACUCAUGGGCUUGAGAGUAGGAGACUGGAGACCAAGGUGGCUAGAAUCCAGUUGGGCCUGAUGUCUCCCUGUUGAAAGGGCUCCUUGUGGAAUGAAUAGCACAUGGCUCCUGUGGUGGAUCUGAUAGUGGCAUAGCACCAAGUGAUGCAGGCCUGCCAGGGGCCACAGACACAGAAGAUGCUCCCGGGGUCCCCCAUGUACUCCAGACACACUGCAGGCCACCUCUCCCAGCAGGUUGCCAGUCAUGGGCCCCAUCAUCAUGACUUCUGUCCAAGGUGUGCUCGGAAAUCUCUUCCUUAACUGUGACUUUCUGACAGGUGGAGGAUGUGGUCAGGAGUGGGAAAAGGAUUCGAGACGGGAAGAGGGAGGGGUUCAGGAUGAAGAGAGAUAAUCUGUGCCACAGAUGCUGGCCCUGCAGUUAGCUCCCACCUAGUCCGUGCACACACAUUCUAAUCCCCUCCCAUUCCUUUACAUGCUGCGGCCAGAGAGGCCUUUCUCAAAGUGGAAGUCUCAUCCUCACUUCUCUGGUUACAGUGCUGGGCCAUGGUAACUUACAAGGCUUAGCAGGAACUGUCUGCGCACUCCCCCUUCCUGCCCACUACCUUGUUUCCCUCCAGUUGCGAGAGAAAACAUUGAUUGAGCAUUAACUAUGUGCCAGGCUUGUCCUAAGUCCUUUGCAUGUAUUCACUCAAACAAUCCUCACAACAUUCCUAUCACAUCUCCCAUUUCACAGUGAGGGUUCUAAAGCACGUAGUGGGUGAGGAACUUGUCCAGGGUCACACAACUAAGUGGGGGUGGAGAAACAUCAAAUCUAGGUGGUCCAGGUGGUGGCCAGAACCCAUCAGCACCUCACUACAGCUGCCUCCAGUUUCUCGCUCUAGGAAAUACUCUUCCCUGUCAACUCCUGUUGUCCUCUGGGCUCAGUUGACAUGUCAUCUCCUUGAGGAGGACAUCCUGAGAUGCUCCCCGACUAGGGUGGGCACCCACUUCCACACUCCAAAUGCCUAUUUGACCUGUGUAUCGCUGCAUCCCCACUGCCUGGCAGAUAGCAGGCCCCUAAUAAAUAUGAUUUGAGCAAAUAAAUAUAGUUCUUCAAAAAAUAGGGAGGACUUCUUGCUUCAGGUAAUGGUAGGCUAGGACAUUUGGACCAACCCUCCUGCAGAAAAUAGCCAUUUAUUUUGAUGCAAUAUAUCUGGCUAUGACUAGAGAUUUCAAAUAUUUGGAGGGCUAUUAUGUGAAGAACUAAACUUACUCUUUGUGACAUAGAGGUCAGAAAUUGGUCGUUUCCAUAGAGUAUGAGAGAGACAGAAUUGUGCUCAUCAUAAGUAUCUUUUUUAAAAGUUAGACUUAAUAAAAUGGGCUGCCUUGGUAGGUGGUGAGUUCUCUGUCACGAAAGAGAUUCAGCCACUUGCUCUGAGAAAGCAUGGAGAAUAUCAACAUUGUAAGGGUCGACCACCUCAUCUCUGAGGCCCCCUCCUCACUUAGGUUGCCAUUGCAGGUGGAACACUGGGCUGAGUGUCAAAGAACCUGGGUUCCACAAGCUGUGCGACCAUGGCUGGUUGUUUUGGAUCUCAUUCCUAAUAUCUGUUAGUUAAGCUGACCCGUCAAUACUGACCCACUUCACAGAGUUAUGAAGGGAUUAAAUUAGGUAUUACAUGUAAAUCUGUUUUGUUUGCUUUUUGUUGUUCUUUUUUGUUUUGCUUUUUUCUUUGCAUUAUGAAAUCCCAAGUCAACUUUUUCCAUUCUUUUAUUUUUUUAAAAAUUGACAUCAUCAUUAUAACCACAAAAUAAUUUUUAAAAUGGAAAAAAAAAACUCACCUGCAACCCCACAAUCUAAUACAAUAAUCAUACUUUUUUCCCUUUAUUCUCCUUUAUUGUGACCAAGGAUGACUUUGGGCAUUGCUGUGAGGAACUAUUUCGUUUAACACCCUACUACCUGAACAUGAUGCGUACUCAGCCUUUCACCACCCCCCAAGUAGCUACACAUGAUGUGAUAAUAGUAUUGGUGGUGGUUUUAGAGAGUUGGAGAGAAAACUGAAGUUGGAUUUGGGUAAAAGAAAAAAGAGUGGGAAUUAUUUUUUCUCCAUUCUAAAGCCCAUAAAGCAAUGUUAAUUGUUCCCACCCCUCUGCUAUUCUGUCUCCUCAGGUACUGUGUGCAGAAAUGUGAUUGAGAUUCAAGUCAGGGCCUCUCUGCCCUUUUCCCUCCAGAAACAAAACCAAGAUAAUUUAUCCUGAACACGGUGAAAAAAGGAAGGGAGGGAGGAGAAAAAGUCCGGGUCUCACCUGGGAUUCUCUGUCUCCUGCAACAUGAAGGAUUUAGCCUGGGAGGAGGUGGUGAGAACUCUGGGAGAGAAAAAAGAAGGAAAGAAUAGUUUUACCCAUGCUGAAGUUAAUUUAAACCUUCACCUAGAGAAGCAAAAAAAAAAAACCCACACUUUCCCAUUUUGUGCCUCCCUUCCUAGAGUUUUAGCCAAAGGUUUAGCUAAGUAAUUGGUUUUACCAGCGCACUCACUCCUCCUAUCCCAAGUCUGUUUGACUCCCUCCCCAUCAUCCUCCUCACCUCUUUUCAGGCAGGGUGGGGAUAGCAGCAGGAGGAGAUUUUGGGAGCCUGGCAACUCCUGCAAGGACCGCAGGACAGCCCCUCUGUGGGGAUGCGUGGUGCCCCAUCUGCCGCCCUUCUGAAGAAUGCACUGCCUUCACUUUUUACUGUGUUAGAGUCCAUCCAGACUGUUCUAUCCAAAAAAGUUUCUUUUUCCCCCACAGGCAAUCAGGAAAUGAUUCCUUUCCCGACUGCUUCUGUCUAGUGCCUGGGAAUCUUGAGUCAAUCCCUCAGUAAGUCAGUGACUAGGGAAAUCCCUCUCUGAGCCUCCCAGUUCAUGUUGCUUAGGGAACCUGAUAUUUUCGUGAAACCUGCCUACACAUGGGCAGCCCAACAGCAGAACAAAUGGUGGUGACCAAAGUGAACAAAGAAGUAUAGUUGUGCCAGCUUCGUAGUUGCCCAUGUGGACAAGUCAGCAGGAUCAGGACACGAGGAAGAGUAAAUGUGAGACAGUCAAUGUGACUUCUGCGAUAAACAGAUUUUUAAACCCCGAAAUUUUGCAAAAUUUUGGUGAAACCUGAACUUUCUUCGUUGCAUAUACUGGCACUAUCUGUACCAUCAUACAACUGUCUCACAUUAAAGCUAUUUUUCUUGGGCACUGAUGAGUAAGGUUGGUAUAAGUUCCUCAGAUCAACAAAAACCCAUUUUCCUGUAAGUCUUACAUUUAGUAUUUAAGGAACUAAAACUUAAAUACAUUUUGUGAAAUGGUUGACACUUCACUGAUAAUGAUUUAUUGCUUGGAUUAAUAAAUUUUCCAAAAGUUGUCUUAUGUAGAAUAUGGUUUGCAACCAGCAGAACCAUUAAUCUAUACUGCAAUGAUAUGCACUAUGUAUAAUUGUUUAAAAGCCUCUACUUAAUGAUGUAAAAUGCUCUAUUUAAUUACACAUUUGGGUAAACUGUAUACUAACAUCUGAUGGCAUUUUUCCACUGUUUGUUGCUUUUUUCAAAUACUUUAUUGUACAAAGCUGUUCUUAAUAUUUUUCAAGUUUUUUUCUUUGAAUUUUGCUAAUGUUUUCCUUGAAUUAUGAGCACUGACAGAAUGUGCUUAGCACUUUUGGCUAUUCACACAGCUUUUGAGCAUGAUUUGCAUCCAAUAUUUACAUUGCUAGCAAUAAUAAGCCAUCUGUGAGUUUUGUCAAAAGUUAUUGGGGAUUUUUUAAAUUUUAGAAAUGCAAAUUAUUGUUUCUUUGAACUAACUCUUAUGCAGUUGCAAAGGCAUUUCCAGUUGUUAUAGUUUGUGUACAAUAUCAGGUGUUCCAGAUUAUGAUUCAUUAUUAAUAUCAUUGCUUCCUUGUUCCCUCUGAGGUCCAGAAGAUUCAUGUUUACAAUAUUUAGAAACAAUGUUAAAAAGGUAUCCAAAGUUUGUCACUUUAUUAUUAGUUUGUUCUUAAUAUUCUGUUUAAGUUUUUGAAUUCAUAGAUAUCAAAACGCUGCACAAUUAUGAUUUCCACAGGAAUAACAACACACUAACAAUAAGAACCAAAAACAGCAAAUAGGCUGCCUACAAGUUUUGACAAUAUUAGGAUAAUGAUAAUGACAGUUUUUCUAAAUCUCACAGUAAAGAAUGCAGCAACCCAGCAACACUGCUACCUGUGGCCUCAGGCUGCAGUGUCAGCUCUUCCCUGGGUCUCCAGCCUGCCAGUCUAACCUGAAAAUUAUGUACUUGCCAGCCCCCACAGUCACGUGAGUGAACUGGCCCAGGCUGGUCACCAGGGUCAGUUUCUCUGUGUGUCAUUAAUUCAUUCAGUCUUCAGCAGUCUCUUUGGAGCUGAGAUGUACCUACCAUCUGCCUUUUGGGUGCUUAGGGUGGAGAACCAGAAAAGUAUAACCUAGUGUGUAUCCUCAAAGAGCUAACAAUAUGGGGUGGUACCUAUAGGUCUGGAAACACUUUACUGACUCUGUGAGGCAUACCAGGAGACGUCAGAGAACAGUCCCUCCUCAAAUGCCAAAUGAGAUGCAGAAGAAAUAGUUUGCUCAAGUUCAUGGGCCAGAUAUCCCAGUGGUCAGGGAGUUUCAUGAAUGAGAUGGAACUUUGCAUGGAACCCGAGGGAUGUGUAUGAUUUGAGUAGAUGAAGAAUAUGAGACUUUCCAAGCAGCUAGAAGUUAGGGAGCAGCAAGAUGUGUGGUGGGAUUGAGCACAGUUGGUUCAGAGGAUAGACUGCAGUUUUAAUAAUUUGUAGUAAAUAUCUCCCAACUGUUUGGCACUAUUGGAGCAAGUUCUUGAAUGCCAAAUGAAGGCAUAAAUCAGUAAGAGGCAUAAUAAAAGGCUGAGCAGUGCUUGGCUUUUUACGAACUGAUCCUGAUAGGAGCAGCUGUUCAACAAAGUUGCCAGGUCACCGUUACAUAGUCCCUGCCUUCUAGGGGCUCACUGCCUACUGGGAGAGACAGUCUGAAAGUUGGUGGAGCAUGUAACUGUUGGAUGAGGAGUUUGAGCCUGUGGACUGUGGGACCCCCGAGGAGGGUGUGGCUACUCUAGGCAGAACAAUCCCACAGUUUAUUUAUAUUUAACCUUGAAAUUCAUUAGAGGAUUUUUCAGCAGAGGUUUGGUACUUGUUAAUGUUAAGGUUUGCAUUCUCUAGAACCUCAAGGAAAGCUGUACCGUGCAUAAUGUACCCUCUUAUGUUAAUGUUGUGUACUGUGAUCCUGUUUCAGGGACUUGCACUUAGGAAUCUGUUACAGUGAGCACAGAAGCAGACCUGUGGGCUCAUAGUCUUCACCCCCCACCCAUAUAUACAAGAUGAACAGAGUGGAGGUUAAACAACUUGACUAAACAACACAGUUCAUGGUAAAGCCCAAGACUGUACCUGCCCAUCCACUGCCUUUUCCAUGUAUCCUGGAACUGAGCAUAGACCUCUUCCCAGGCAGAGCUGACAGCAAGUAAAGGAGAUCAUAAUCAGGGGACCAAACAACUUUGUCUAAAGUGUGAAUGUCACCUAAGGAGAAGCUGUGAGAUCAGAAGGGUGGGGCAGAGGAGCAGACACCAUGAGAGAGAGUCCUUGGGGGUACAUCUGCCAGACUGACACUGUCUGGCCUGGGCAGUGGAGGGGCUAGCAGGAACCACAGGUACUGGUGGUGUGGCUACUACCGUUACAACUGCCUGUGCUUGGACAUGGACCCUCUGCAAUAUGCGGCAGUUUCAUUCAUUGCCCCCUACAUUCUACACCAAGUAGAAAUGGAAGGCAAUUGGAUACUUCACAGACAAGAUCUAAGUGGAGAAGGAAUGCGUCCUGUGGCUGCAGAGAUCCUUGGAGCUUGGAGGGGAGAGCUUGAGCCCCACUGAUGAUGACCUCCCACAGCUCGCCAACUCAGCCCUCCCUAAGUCCCCAUCGGGGGCCAAUUCUCACUCUGGGGUUGGGGGGACUCCACCAUAGCUCAUCCAUCAUAGGGAUGUUGGUAUCUACUGUGGGUUGGGUAGGGCCGAUGUGCUGAGGAUGGCUCCCCCACAAGCAAGAGAUGUGGAUUUGGGGAGCUUCCCAUCUUGUGUUGAAGGAACAUAACUCAGAAUAAUAAGAGCCAACUAUAACAAACCCACAGCCAACAUCAUACUGAAUGGGCAAAAGCUGCAGGCAUUCCCCUUGAAAAGUGGCACAGGAUAAGGAAGCCCUUUCUCACCACUCCUAUUCAAUAUAGUGUUGAAAGUCCUGAUCACAGCAGUCAGGCAACAGAAAUAAUAAAGGGCAUCCAAAUAGGAAGAGAGGAAGUCAAACUAUCCUUGUUUGCAGACAGUAUGAUUCUAUAUCUAGAAAACCCCAUAGCCUCAGCCCAAAAGGUCCUUCAUCUGAUAAUUUCAGCAAAGUUUCAGGAGACAAAAUCAGUGUACAAAAAUCACUAACAUUCCUAUACACAGUCGCCAAGCCAAGAGCCAAAUCAGGAGCACAAUCCCAUUCAUAAUUGCCACAAAAAAGAAUAAAAUACCCAGGAAUGCAGCUAACCAAGGAAGUAAAGGAUCUCUACAAUGAGAAUCACAAACGCUGCUCAAAGAAAUCAGAGAUGACACAAACAAAUGGAAAAACUUUCCAUGCUCAUGGCUAGGAAGAAUCAAUAUCAUUAAAGUGGCCAUACUACCCAAAGCAAUUUAUAGAUUCAAUGCUAUUCCUAUCAAACUAUCAAUUACAUUUUUCACAGAACUAGAAAAAACUUAAAAUUCAUAUGGAACCAAAAAGCCUGAGUAGUCAAGGCAAUCCUAAACAAAAAGAACAAAGGUGGAGGCAUCACAUUACCUAACUUCAAACUACAGGGCUACCAUGACCAAAACAGCAUGGUACUGGUACAAAAGCAGACACACAGACCAGUGGGACAGAAUAGAGAGCCCAAAAAUAAGGCCACAAACCUACAGCCAUCUGAUCUUCAACAAAGUUGACAAAAACAAGCAAUGGGGAAAGGUCUCCCUAUUCAAUAAAUGGUGCUGGGAUAACUGGCUGGCCAUAUGCAGAAGAUCGUAACUGGACCCCUUUUACUAUGUACAAAAAUUAAGAUGGUUUAAAGAGUUAAAACCCAAAAUUAUAAAAAUCCUGAAGAUAACUUAGGCAAUACCAUUCUGGACAUAGGAACUGGCAAAUAUUUCAUGAUGAAGACACCAAAAGCAAUUGUAACAAAAGCAAAAAUGGACAAAUUGGAUUUAAGAGCUUUUUCAUAGCAAAAUAAACAACAGGGCAGACAAUCUACCAAAUGACAGAAAAUUUUUGCAAACUAUGCAUCUGACAAGGGGCUAAUAUCUAGCAUCUAUAAGGAAUUUAAACACAGUUACAGG